Molecule: ribosomal RNA, 1783 nt
Filed under: Triticum aestivum (bread wheat)
Lineage: Eukaryota; Viridiplantae; Streptophyta; Magnoliopsida; Poales; Poaceae
Description: partial small subunit ribosomal RNA
Source: RNAcentral
CCCAACCCAAACCCUUUGUUUUUGCGUUCAGGGGUGCCCGUCUGGCUUGGGAUCGAAGCGGAGAACCUGGGAGUUGGAACGGUAAGUGCGCGUUCUGGAUAACACUACAGCAGCAGGCCGCCCCCACCCCGACCCGUCGUCAAGGCCAUGUGCGUCUGCGGCAGCUUCCACGACGUGGACGCCUUGGACGGGACCCUCACGUGCCUCCUCCUCGAGCAACUCGAGACGUUCGGGAAGCCGGCGUAGCAGUUGUGGUUUAGGCCGCAGCCGCGGUUGGCGUUGGUCCGGAAGCAGCUCAAAUGGCUACAAUUAGUUCGGUAAAGUUACCAAAGAAUAAAACGUAGUAGAAGUCUUGGUCGUGUUUAAGCUCCGUUUUGACAAAUGUAAGUCAUAAGUUUAUCUGUUCUUUAUUAAUUGUUAUUCUCGGGACCACUCUGACGACCUUUACAGAACGAACAAUGGUAUCUCCCACAAGUUCGAUCACUGCAGUGGUAGCUACAUUAGGUAAACCAAAAGAGACGAAAACCUAAACAAGUGUUUUAUCGGUGAAAACUCUUCCGACGUCCAAAAGUCCGUGACUAGGUCAUAUGACUACGUGGGUGACGUAGUCGUCGUUCUCUUCGGAAUCUACCUUCUUCGUAGGGUUCUAUGAACGAAGGCCUAGUACAUCAUAGGACGGUGAACGCCUAAAGAAAGAGACGCGUAUUCCUAAACUUGUAGUUCAAGGUUAGUGUGGCGUCGUCCCUAAUGUGAUUGGGAAUGGAAGGUCAGUUGAGGAGACGAUAUCUAUCAUGUAACGUCGGACGACAACCACGACUACCUUCCUCCCACCUCCGACUCCCAUUACAAGAAGAACGUAGUUAACUCUUAUACGUCAUACGACAUAGUCACCUACAAGAGGUAUGACACAAGAGACGUAAGCCAUGUCAGGUCUUUUAACGAUAAAAACUCUUCUUACCACCUUGUGUUCGAGAUUAAGUCAUGGGACUACGUUCAUGACGAUGUUAACGCUUCCUUCGUAACCUUCCCGUAACGUAGAUGCUACCACCGAUGACAUUCUAAGUGGACAGUAUGAGAGCAGUAUGACUAGAGUUACAUUUCCGAGUAUCACUGUUCUCGUUCCUAAUGUGUUAGGGUCUUCCUCGUGUGGUUCGUCGUGGUGUCGGUCGGCCACAUGGAGGAUGUUGACGUCCUACCGUUCCAUUAAGAGUUCGUCGACCUGGUAUGCCUGGUGGUCCACAGCGACGAGUUUUGGUCUUGCGGUUGCCUGUUCACGGCUUAACCUUAGGGCCGUUGAGUCCCAUGGGUGGUCGAGGUCCGGUCAUAGGUCCGGUAUACAUGAGUCGAGGUGGUGUCGUCAUGUGCCGCUGUAGUCCCCCGAAGAGGCGGGGAGGCGGUGGCGGCGGAGUACUCUACGUAGGAAGUGUGGUCUACGGUGGACGAGUAGUACCUUUACUCUACGUAGGAAGUGUGGUCUACGGUGGACGAGUAGUACCUUUACUCUACGUAGGAAGUGUGGUCUACGGUGGACGAGUAGUACCUUUAGUCGUCUCUGGCCGUUCACCACGGGGACCUUGACCGGUUGGUGGAGGCAUAAUGGUGGUAAUUCACACACACAUGGAAGCGGCGGUAAAGACUAAUCAAAUACCUCAAAACGUUGAGAUGUUAUGGCGAUGGGGUAAAACAAAUGGUAGAGACAGGAUGUUACUUUAUUGUCAGUUAUUUAAGAGUAGGUAGUAAAAAACCCAGUUACGCUCCGUGACUACCUUUCGACGAGUUUACG